AGGAAAGAAUGCUGUCUUGAGAGCCCAAGUGUAACGGGUAUAGUGCCUUGCAUGUCUCCCACUUGAAAGCCCCAUGUCUCCUUCACUAUCUGAAGUUCUGAACACACUGACAAAAGAAACAAAAAUACAAAUAGUUGGUAAGAAAAAUGUAAAAAGGAAAAAGCUGUCAACUUUGAGGGUAUCCGACAUCAUAAAAAUAAGAAUUGAAACCAAAUUUAUAAAAAUUAGAGAGAAAUGAAAGAUGGAUAUUGAUAAAAUGUGAGUGUACCAAUUGCUUGAGUUGGAGAGCAGCAUGAACAAUGCCCUUACCUCAUCAUCAUUAUGAACCUGAAACAUCCUUAGAAUUAUUAUUUUCAAAACUUUGACAAAUAAAAAUAUAAAAUUAAGUUAGGACAAAGUUCCUUAGAAAGGUAUUUAACUAAUUCUCUUUAUGCAAAUAUUUCAUAUACUUUUGGAGGAAUUUUCACUUAUAACAGAAAGCACAGUCCCUUUCUUCUUCCCCCUUUCAUCAUUAACUUACUAGAAAUUUUUCCUUGUCAGUCCUCAACUUCUAUUCUCCCAUUUCGUAAAAUAAGCCGAAAGAUUUAUAAAAAGAGUCCCCUUCAACAAUAAAAGUGAAUUUGUCCUGGUAAUUGUGCAUUUGUGAUAAUGAAAUGUAUUACAAAGUAAUACAAAACGUAUGAAAUUUAAGUAUGAGAAGCAGUAAUCAUCUCAACGAAAUCAAUUAGAAAUUGAACUUAAGUUUAAAACAUAUUCUUAGCAAAAUUUAAUUAGGAUUUAUCAAAACACUAAAAGGAGGGAAGAUAAGGAAAAUAAUGAGAACAUACAAAAAAAAAAGAGAGAAGCAAAAAGACUAAUAAAAGAAUCACAGAAACAGAAAAGCAGCGAAUCAACACUGUGUUUCAAAUUCCAUAGGAGCUAGUCAUUUUAAAAGAUUUUGCCCCAUUUCAUUGUUUGAAUAGAGCUAGUCAUUUUAAAUGAUUUUGCUCCAUUUCAUUGCUUGAAUUUGAACAAAACACCAUUUCACUCAAGUUCAAUAAUUUCAUUUAUUUCCUUAUCCGUUAAAGCAAAUAAAUUCUAGUCUAAUAUUACAUUCUGAACAAUUCAAUUCAUCUUAUAAAACCUGUAAAUAAUAAUAAUAAUAAAUAAAUAAAUAAUUUUUUUCCUCAAGCCAAUAUUUUACAUAGAGCCUUCUAUAUUUUUUCCUCCCUUAAUUUUUCUUACAGAAGCAGAAAAGUGUAACAAAGCUCUUAAUUACCACUUACCAAUAUUGGAAAGUAUGCUCAAAAUGACUCAGCUCGC
Molecule: long non-coding RNA, 1302 nt
Filed under: Arachis ipaensis
Lineage: Eukaryota; Viridiplantae; Streptophyta; Magnoliopsida; Fabales; Fabaceae
Description: long non-coding RNA (AIPA_LNC000100)
Source: RNAcentral